Molecule: ribosomal RNA, 301 nt
Filed under: uncultured bacterium
Lineage: Bacteria
Description: partial 16S ribosomal RNA
Rfam family: Bacterial small subunit ribosomal RNA
Source: RNAcentral
CAGUCGCCGCGGUAAUACAGAGGGUGCGAGCGUUAAUCGGAUUUACUGGGCGUAAAGCGUGCGUAGGCGGCUUUUUAAGUCGGAUGUGAAAUCCCUGAGCUUAACUUAGGAAUUGCAUUCGAUACUGGGAAUCUAGAGUAUGGGAGAGGAUGGUAGAAUUCCAGGUGUAGCGGUGAAAUGCGUAGAGAUCUGGAGGAAUACCGAUGGCGAAGGCAGCCAUCUGGCCUAAUACUGACGCUGAGGUACGAAAGCAUGGGGAGCAAACAGGAUUAGAUACCCCAGUAGUCCCUGUCUCUUAUAC